CACGUGGGUGAUCUGCCCUGCACUUCGGGAUAAGCCUGGGAAACUGGGUCUAAUACCGGAUAUGACCUCCUAUCGCAUGGUGGGUGGUGGAAAGAUUUAUCGGUGCAGGAUGGGCCCGCGGCCUAUCAGCUUGUUGGUGGGGUAAUGGCCUACCAAGGCGACGACGGGUAGCCGACCUGAGAGGGUGACCGGCCACACUGGGACUGAGACACGGCCCAGACUCCUACGGGAGGCAGCAGUGGGGAAUAUUGCACAAUGGGCGAAAGCCUGAUGCAGCGACGCCGCGUGAGGGAUGACGGCCUUCGGGUUGUAAACCUCUUUCAGCAGGGACGAAGCGCAAGUGACGGUACCUGCAGAAGAAGCACCGGCUAACUACGUGCCAGCAGCCGCGGUAAUACGUAGGGUGCAAGCGUUGUCCGGAAUUACUGGGCGUAAAGAGUUCGUAGGCGGUUUGUCGCGUCGUUUGUGAAAACCAGCAGCUCAACUGCUGGCUUGCAGGCGAUACGGGCAGACUUGAGUACUGCAGGGGAGACUGGAAUUCCUGGUGUAGCGGUGAAAUGCGCAGAUAUCAGGAGGAACACCGGUGGCGAAGGCGGGUCUCUGGGCAGUAACUGACGCUGAGGAACGAAAGCGUGGGUAGCGAACAGGAUUAGAUACCCUGGUAGUCCACGCCGUAAACGGUGGGCGCUAGGUGUGGGUUCCUUCCACGGAAUCCGUGCCGUAGCUAACGCAUUAAGCGCCCCGCCUGGG
RNAcentral lists this ribosomal RNA (750 nucleotides) under Rhodococcus sp. (in: high G+C Gram-positive bacteria). Its description in RNAcentral is "bacterial SSU rRNA". It matches the Rfam family "Bacterial small subunit ribosomal RNA", at positions 114 to 877 of the family's 1533-position model. The record is from RNAcentral. Lineage: Bacteria; Bacillati; Actinomycetota; Actinomycetes; Mycobacteriales; Nocardiaceae.